RNAcentral lists this ribosomal RNA (431 nucleotides) under uncultured bacterium. RNAcentral describes it as "partial 16S ribosomal RNA". It matches the Rfam family "Bacterial small subunit ribosomal RNA", at positions 29 to 505 of the family's 1533-position model. The record is from RNAcentral.
AACGAACGCUGGCGGCAUGCCUAACACAUGCAAGUCGAACGAGACCUUCGGGUCUAGUGGCGCACGGGUGCGUAACGCGUGGGAACCUGCCCUUAGGUUCGGAAUAACUCCCCGAAAGGGGUGCUAAUACCGGAUAAUGUCUUCGGACCAAAGAUUUAUCGCCUUUGGAUGGGCCCGCGUUGGAUUAGCUAGUUGGUAGGGUAAAAGCCUACCAAGGCGACGAUCCAUAGCUGGUCUGAGAGGAUGAUCAGCCACACUGGGACUGAGACACGGCCCAGACUCCGACGGGAGGCAGCAGUGGGGAAUAUUGGACAAUGGGCGAAAGCCUGAUCCAGCAAUGCCGCGUGAGUGAUGAAGGCCUUAGGGGUGUAAAGCUCUUUUACCCGGGAUGAUAAUGACAGUACCGGGAGAAUAGGCUCCGGCUAACUCCA